Zingiber officinale is the source of this 1384-nucleotide long non-coding RNA. RefSeq lists it as uncharacterized. The record is from RefSeq and is a predicted model, not a curated record. The transcript has 4 exons. NCBI's taxonomy places the organism in Eukaryota, Viridiplantae, Streptophyta, Magnoliopsida, Zingiberales, Zingiberaceae.
UUUUCCUUAUUUCCUCUCCUCCCGAACCCUUUCCUUCCUCCUUCGCUCGACCCGACGCCGCCUCUCGCUCUGCGGCGUGGAGCUCCUCCUCUCCCGAUCUCUCAUCUUCUCCCAUCUUCAUCAUCGAUCUCCUCCUCCCUCUCCCUCUUGCAAUCUCCUCUUCUUCCCCCGACGCCCUGCUCUCGCCUUCACAUCGCCUUCCACCCGAUCAUCAGUGACGCCGCCUUAUCGCCGGAAGUUGUCAUCGCUGGAGUGGAGGAUCGACGCAAGGAGGGCUAGAGCUACUCUCCUUCUGGCUUGAGGACCGAAUCGGGGUAGUGGUUGCGGCCACUGAGAACUCAUCGGCAGCGGAAGCCCUAACAUCCUGUCCAUCGCCGCACCAGUCUCCUUCACUGGAUUGGAGGCGCAACCAGUAGCGACUCUGCACUCUCACAUUCCCGAUCUUCCUUCCCACUUACCGCCGAGGGUACCCUGCUGUCCUAACGCCAUCUUGUAGCGGUUUUGUUUUGUUCCGGCCAUAGCACUGCCGACGACCAACAGCUAGCUCUGCUAGUGGCUAGUCCUAUUGGUGCCACUUUCCUCAUCAAAUUUGAAGUGGAGGGUUCCUCCUUUCUCACAACUGCAUCUGGAUUUCUUUCACCAAGCAGUGAUAGAGCGGAUUAAGGCCUUUUGAAUUGCUAUGGCGAUCUUGCCUCAGCUGACGAUUUGAAAGAAGGAGAAUCAUAACCUUGAAGACGUUCGGAGUAUUGCCUAGGAGGGUUUCGUUUCACCAUAAGUUGUGGUUGGAGAAGGAGAACAAGCAACGUUUGGGAGACAUGAGGUAUUGAUUUGAUGAUCAUAUGUUUCGGAUAGGAGGUCCUGGUAAGUACAGUUCUUCUUAUGUUGUCUUUCAGUUUGCAUUUCCUAUUAUUGAUCAGAAGAUUGUAUCGCAUGAUUAUUAGUUAUAACUUAUUAUGUCUAUCUAUCCGGUAUCCGCUGAGUUCUUUGAACUCACACCAUUGAGUUAUUUCUAUUUCAGGUAGCAGGUAGUUUUUAGAGUCGCUUGGAGUAUCCUGUCUGCCGGUUCACACGUCACAUCCAAAGACCUAUUUCUGGUUUUCAUUUGUACUUUAUUUUGUCUAUGUUUUUUGUUUACUUAGCAAUGUAAAUUUAGGUUUUGGUUCCGGAGUGUUUUGAUGUGGUAUUUUGUAUUGUUUGUGGUGUUGUGUAAGUCUAGCCGGCUAGCAGUCUUGUUUUUGGGUUGUAAUGAUUUUCUAUCAUUUCCACUGUGUUUUUGGUAUUUUGAUCCAACUGAGUGGGCUGUUAGAUGUAUAUAUAACUGCGUGGUUGUAUUUAUUAUUAUUACAGCCGAGUGUGCUAAAUAUAAACUGUGUGGUUGUGUAUA